GCGGCAGGCUUAACACAUGCAAGUCGAGCGCCCCGCAAGGGGAGCGGCAGACGGGUGAGUAACGCGUGGGAACAUACCCUCCGGUUCGGAAUAACUCAGGGAAACUUGAGCUAAUACCGGAUACGGUCGAGAGGCGAAAGAUUUAUCGCCGGAGGAUUGGCCCGCGUCCGAUUAGCUAGUUGGUGUGGUAAUGGCGCACCAAGGCGACGAUCGGUAGCUGGUCUGAGAGGAUGAUCAGCCACAUUGGGACUGAGACACGGCCCAAACUCCUACGGGAGGCAGCAGUGGGGAAUAUUGGACAAUGGGCGCAAGCCUGAUCCAGCCAUGCCGCGUGAGUGAUGAAGGCCUUAGGGUUGUAAAGCUCUUUCGCCCACGACGAUAAUGACGGUAGUGGGAGAAGAAGCCCCGGCUAACUUCGUGCCAGCAGCCGCGGUAAUACGAAGGGGGCUAGCGUUGUUCGGAAUUACUGAGCGUAAAGCGCGUGUAGGCGGGUCUUUAAG
RNAcentral lists this ribosomal RNA (500 nucleotides) under uncultured bacterium. RNAcentral's name for it is "bacterial SSU rRNA". It matches the Rfam family "Bacterial small subunit ribosomal RNA", at positions 39 to 587 of the family's 1533-position model. The record is from RNAcentral.